Molecule: ribosomal RNA, 449 nt
Filed under: uncultured prokaryote
Description: bacterial SSU rRNA
Rfam family: Bacterial small subunit ribosomal RNA
Source: RNAcentral
UGGGGAAUAUUGGACAAUGGGCGAAAGCCUGAUCCAGCAACGCCGCGUGGAGGAUGAAGGCCCUCGGGUUGUAAACUCCUGUCAGGUGGGACGAAAAGACGACGGCAAAUAACCGGCGUCCUUGACGGUACCACCGGAGGAAGCCCCGGCUAACUCCGUGCCAGCAGCCGCGGUAAUACGGAGGGGGCAAGCGUUAUUCGGAAUCAUUGGGCGUAAAGGGCGCGUAGGCGGCUUGGCAAGUCAGGGGUGAAAUCCCUCGGCUCAACCGAGGAACUGCCUCUGAAACUGUCUGGCUUGAGGCCGGGAGAGGGUAGUGGAAUUCCCAGUGUAGCGGUGAAAUGCGUAGAUAUUGGGAGGAACACCGGUGGCGAAGGCGGCUACCUGGACCGGUUCUGACGCUGAGGCGCGAAAGUGUGGGGAGCAAACAGGAUUAGAUACCCCCGUAGUCC